UCCGUAGGGUGCGAGCGUUGUCCGGAAUUACUGGGCGUAAAGAGCUCGUAGGUGGUUUGUCGCGUUGUCCGUGAAAACUCACAACUCAAUUGUGGGCGUGCGGGCGAUACGGGCAGACUGGAGUACUGCAGGGGAGACUGGAAUUCCUGGUGUAGCGGUGGAAUGCGCAGAUAUCAGGAGGAACACCGGUGGCGAAGGCGGGUCUCUGGGCCGAUACUGACGCUGAGGAGCGAAAGCGUGGGGAGCGAACAGG
This 253-nucleotide ribosomal RNA is filed under the name uncultured bacterium. RNAcentral's name for it is "partial 16S ribosomal RNA". It matches the Rfam family "Bacterial small subunit ribosomal RNA", at positions 524 to 776 of the family's 1533-position model. The record is from RNAcentral.